This is a long non-coding RNA of Manduca sexta (tobacco hornworm), 324 nucleotides long. RefSeq lists it as uncharacterized. The record is from RefSeq and is a predicted model, not a curated record. The transcript is spliced from 2 exons. Lineage: Eukaryota; Metazoa; Arthropoda; Insecta; Lepidoptera; Sphingidae.
CGUGACAUUUUUUAAACAUUUCCGAGGUUAUAAUAGCAAGUAAAGUGAUUUAUGGAAACAGUAUUAUUUUAAAGUUACAUCUGUUGACACUGCUGACGAGAAUUACAAAAAAAUAGGGAGCAGUGACGUCAACCCUCUCUCUUCCCAGCCUGGGAAUGACGGUUGAUAAAGACUCGGGCAAUAUGGUGUUAAAGUACAGCCUAUUACCUAAACUACCUACAUUCAAGACAUCUGACGAUAAUGUACUAGAUCUUGCGAAUGUAGACUCUCUACAAAGCAUAUUUAAUGGAUGUAUUUGUGAAUAAAUGAAAAGCAAUUACAAAA